GAUGAACGCUGGCGGCGUGCUUAACACAUGCAAGUCGAACGGAAAGGCCCAAGCUUGCUUGGGUACUCGAGUGGCGAACGGGUGAGUAACACGUGGGUGAUCUGCCCUGCACUUCGGGAUAAGCCUGGGAAACUGGGUCUAAUACCGGAUAGGACGAUGGUUUGGAUGCCAUUGUGGAAAGUUUUUUCGGUGUGGGAUGAGCUCGCGGCCUAUCAGCUUGUUGGUGGGAUAAUGGCCUACCAAGGCGUCGACGGGUAGCCGGCCUGAGAGGGUGUACGGCCACAUUGGGACUGAGAUACGGCCCAGACUCCUACGGGAGGCAGCAGUGGGGAAUAUUGCACAAUGGGCGCAAGCCUGAUGCAGCGACGCCGCGUGGGGGAUGACGGCCUUCGGGUUGUAAACUCCUUUCGCUAGGGACGAAGCGUUUUUGUGACGGUACCUGGAGAAGAAGCACCGGCUAACUACGUG
Molecule: ribosomal RNA, 468 nt
Filed under: uncultured bacterium
Lineage: Bacteria
Description: partial 16S ribosomal RNA
Rfam family: Bacterial small subunit ribosomal RNA
Source: RNAcentral